Molecule: non-coding RNA, 111 nt
Organism: Actinomyces sp. oral taxon 175
Lineage: Bacteria; Bacillati; Actinomycetota; Actinomycetes; Actinomycetales; Actinomycetaceae
Source: Rfam
GUCACCGCCGGACAGGGACGGUCUCGAGGGUUGGGGAGCCCGAUGACAGAUCGCUCCUCUGAGAUGGGGUCGGGUCAUAGGGAGCCUGGCAUCAUCGUUCCGGCGAAGGAG